RNAcentral lists this ribosomal RNA (151 nucleotides) under Albidella acanthocarpa. RNAcentral's name for it is "Caldesia acanthocarpa 5.8S ribosomal RNA". It matches the Rfam family "5.8S ribosomal RNA". Rfam says of the family: 5.8S ribosomal RNA (5.8S rRNA) is a component of the large subunit of the eukaryotic ribosome. Lineage: Eukaryota; Viridiplantae; Streptophyta; Magnoliopsida; Alismatales; Alismataceae. The record is from RNAcentral. RNAcentral also lists the same sequence under 1 other name.
GACUCUCGGCAACGGAUAUCUAGGCCCUCGCAUCGAUGAAGAACGUAGCGAAAUGCGAUACUUGGUGUGAAUUGCAGAAUCCCGUGAACCAUCGAGUCUUUGAACGCAAGUUGCGCCCGAAACCGUAAGGUCGAGGGCACGUCUGCUUGGG